Molecule: RNA transcript, 1047 nt
Organism: Drosophila nasuta
Lineage: Eukaryota; Metazoa; Arthropoda; Insecta; Diptera; Drosophilidae
Gene name: general odorant-binding protein 99a-like
Exons: 3
Source: RefSeq, a predicted model, not a curated record
GCUGUCAGAAUUAGGGUGUAUUUUUUUUAAUUGUCCACAUACAACUAAAAUAUGAGAGUUUAUCGCUGAGAUUUGACUUAUUUUCAAGUUGACGAUCUUAUGUUAUGUGAAUCGGAUGAUGAGCUACAUAUAAAUAUAGACAGUCGAGCCCGUGGCUAUUUAGUUUAACUUAUCCCGCGAUUCGAAAGAGUUCCGAUCCUAUGUUGACGUAUUUCAUAGUUUGUCUGGCACUUUGUUCAUUGGUCUAUGCUGAUGGCAAAUGGGUGCACCCCACUCGAGAUGAAUCUCUCAGUAUUAGCGAGAAAUGCCGUACUGAGCAUCCAUUGAAAGAGGAGCAGUUAGCAAUAAUAAAAACACAGAUUUAUUUCCCCGAUGAGCCCGAAGUGCGUCAAUAUCUGUUAUGUUAUUACCAGAUGCACGGUAUCUUCAGCACACUCGAGGGUUUUCAUCCUGAUCGUUUGGCCGUCUGGACGAAUAUGGGUCUGAGCGAGGAGGAGGCACUGCAAAUCGCUCAGGGCUGUGUGGAUAGCAACGAGCAAAAGAGCAGUUCCGAUGAGUGGGCAUACCGUGGUCACAAGUGUAUAAUGUCCAGCAAAAUUGGCGAUCGUCAUAGGGCUUUUCUUAAGGCCCCACCGGCUGAGGCUGCUGCCAAGGCAUAAAACGUAAAUAAACUUUGUGUUUUUUUGUGAUUGAACGAAAACUGUUGAUAACGAAUUUUAUUUUUGUUUUUGAUGAACGGCAACGGUUAGUCAAAAUCUAGCAGUAGCUUUUUUACUUGUUCUACGUAGAAGUGAAAUAUGCCAGCUUAUGGAGGAACUUUGACCCCAUUUCAAGCUCACGAUCUUAUGUGCGACAGAUACAAAUAUGGGUCUGAGUCGUUGGUCGUUUAGUUUCAUUUUUUUAUUCUGCUUUAACGGUUCCUAUUCAAUGUUCAAGUAUUUUGUAGUUUGUCUAGCACUCUGCUCAUUGGCCGAUGGCGAACGGGUUCAAGAAAGUGGGAGUGAAAUCAUCCCGAAUAUUGAAAAAUGCAUCAAAGAGUAUCCAUUG